GUGUCAGCAGCCGCGGUAAUACAGAGGGGGCUAGCGUUGUUCGGAAUUACUGGGCGUAAAGGGCGCGUAGGUGGCCUGUUAAGUCGAACGUGAAAUCCCCGGGCUCAACCCGGGAACUGCGUCCGAGACUGGCAGGCUCGAAUCCGGGAGAGGGAUGUGGAAUUCCAGGUGUAGCGGUGAAAUGCGUAGAUAUCUGGAGGAACACCGGUGGCGAAGGCGGCAUCCUGGACCGGUAUUGACGCUGAGGCGCGAAAGCCAGGGGAGCAAACGGGAUUAGAAACCCGUGUAGUCC
This 292-nucleotide ribosomal RNA is filed under the name uncultured bacterium. RNAcentral describes it as "partial 16S ribosomal RNA". It matches the Rfam family "Bacterial small subunit ribosomal RNA", at positions 505 to 796 of the family's 1533-position model. The record is from RNAcentral.